GUACAUGUGUCUGUAUGUUUGUCCUUUCUUCAUUUCCUCGCUGACCCUAGCCAGGGUUCAGGAACCCAAAUCAAAUGGGCUGUGGCAUGCCUACAUGUGUAGGGGAAUGCUGUAGCCAUGCCUGUUUAGGGGCUGGCUACAGGUAUGACUGACCAUGCCUACCAGGGCAUGGUCAGGGUGACAGAGGAAAGGUUAAGAGUGAGGGAUGCUCAUGUGGUGGGUCUUCUUUCGUUUUCAUCUUCGGCUUGCUGUACUUACUGCUGCCCUGCUGGCUGGCUAGGUUGCUAUAUAAGUAAGGCUUUUCCCUAUUAAAUUCCCUCAUAUUUUUACCUGACUCAUAUUGGUAAUUUCUCACAUUAUCUGGUUGUCAGAAGCGGGAUCUUGUAGACCUAGGUCCAGUUUUAGAGAGCCUGCGUGUCCCACCAGGAGGGCAGACUAGGCUGGGAAAGCACUCCCUCUCUCCACAGGUGCUCCUGGCUCACAGCUGAUCCACCCUGCCACACAAGCAUGUUCCGCUGCCACUGAGCCUCUCUGAACAGUCCACCCAACUGGGAGAGUUUUCCAGACCUCCCAUGGUUUUACCACCACAGUUUCUAGCUGCAGGCACCAGACCAGCCUAGAUUGCAGCCUACCUGCACUCAGAGGCCUCCAGCCCUUGAGCCAAGUAGGCCUCGGGAGUAGGCCUUGGGAGUAGGCCUCAGCUUUCAGCAUGGCCUGCAGCUUCCCCUGGCAGCAGCAGCCGUAAGGCCGUGCCUCUUUCAGUGGUUGCGGCCACAAGGCCAUAUAGUCUCUAAGCUAAGUGCAGCCGCCUGUGUGACCUCAGCUCCAACCCUGCCACCAUCUUGCCUGACUGACUGCUGCAAAAUGCCGCAUGGACUAGGUGAACGCCUACACCACCUGCUGAUCAAUUAUAGUUACUGCAUCUGGAGUAGAAAUCAGAUUCCUGUGUUCCUGAGAGGUGAGCAAGCGCCUGCUUCAUAUUCCUGUCAUGGGGCCACCUGCUACCACCCCCCCCACGAUUGACUGUAUCCUAAAAACUGCGAGCCAAACAAGCCCUUCCUCCCAUGAGAUGCUUCUAAUCAGGUGCUACCACACCCAGAUCGGGUAGUGCUGGAGACCAAACUUGGGGUUCCGUAGAUGCCUACAGGGAAUUUUGGGAGUAAUUGUUAUCCGCAUCGGCCUUCAAUUAGGACAGCCAAUCAUCUCAGUUUUCCCAGGACUAAGGAAUCUGUUGUGAUUACCUAGACUGUACGAGACAGAGUAGAGCACUCUUUUGAGCAUGUCUGAGGGCAUUUCAGAGACCACCUGAUAGGGAAGGCUGUGAUUCAGCCCAUAGUCUGGUCCUCAGAUAAGACUCAGAAUUUGGUCGGCAGCAAUGGCGCAUGCCUUUAAUCCCAGAGCUCAUGAGACACAGGCAGGCAGAUCUCUGUGAGUUCGAGGCCAGCCUGGUCUGCAGAGGGAGUUCCAGGACAGUCAAGCCUACACAGAGAAACCCUGUACCGACAAUCAAAAAACAAAACAAAACAAAGACUCGUAAUUUUGAACGUACUAUCAAGACACAGUAGGACUGUGGAGCUGGAGUCUCGUUGGAGCGGUUGCCACAAGCCUGCCUUGGAGGGUGUACCGUGCUGGGGCCCCUUCCCCUCUGCUUCUCUACUGCUGCAAGGUCUUAAAGCUCAAGGGGUCUUUGGACUCGCCAUAUAGCUCAGGCUGCAACUCAAGAUCCUCCUGCUUCAGCCUCUCCAGUUACAUUUACAUCGCACAACCCGCAAAACCAGAUGCCUUCACGGAACACGAUGGAUUCCUGUGAUAGCUACUAUUACUGAUGGAUUAAAAGAUAUGUUACAAUCCAUAAUGUUUUAGAAUUGAAGCAGUUUGGUUCUAUUAGGAUGCCAUGUUGGAGGCCAGAAGCACAACUGAAGGACAGAAGGGACCAAACAAUGGACGAGGAGGAAACAGCUGGGGGUGAAAGGACACCCAUACUGUUGCAUUGGCUCUUGCACGUGGUCUGGAAGGAUGAGUUUGCUGAUAGGGGGUUCUUGAAGAAUGAAAAAGCGAAUUCCAAGUGAAGAGAAAUCUCAAGAGCUGUGGCUAAAAGCAGAAAACACAUGGAAACUUUUGGUGCGCUAUGAUUGGAGAAGAGAAAUAUGUAAUGGAGUUCUGGGGAUGGAACUCAGAGCCUUAAACAUGCCCCACCUCUGACCUACAGCCCGAGUUCCUGGUUCCAUACCGACUGAAUCGCUUCAAUUUAACUAUGCAGAGUUCUCUCACCCAGGAGCCCUUGGAGCAAAGAUCACAGAUGACCCUUGGAUGUAGAAGGAUGUGGGGAAUCUCAGCAGGGUUUACCUGACCAUGCUAGGUUCCCAGUGAUGUGAACAGCCUCUACCACACACUCCUACCAUGAAUAGAACUGCUCUGCUCUGCUUUCCUUGAUGCAAUGGGCUGAAACUCUGAUAACCAUGAGCUAAAAGAGCUCCUUCCCUCCUUAAGGUCCUUCAUCCCAUUGGGCAUUCUGUUGAAGUAAUGCCAAAUAACUAAUGGACUGUGGAAUGCAAAUUACACCACGGAGCUGUUUCUACCUUGAGGCAAGAAGAUUGUCCUCUGUAAUUCCUUAACUGUCAGUCAUAAGCCUAGAGACAGAAGCAUCCCCUAUUCAGAGGCUCUCCUCAGCCAAUUCUAGUAAGCCAAGGUCACAGGUUUAAGCUGCUAGCCACAUGCUGGACAUUGUUGUGGGCAGUGGGAGUAGGAGUAAGAGAAGGAAGGAAUGCACCAGCUGAUACAGGAUUGGAAUGGGGCAUCAAAGCAUCCUCUACUGCAUCCGUCCGACCCAUGCUUUCUUUCAACAGACAUACAUCUGGAACUUUUCUCAGGACCACUGGGGAAUAACCUCUUCUUGUGUUUAUUGGGGACCUAGAAGGAUACUCAUUGGCCUGUGCAGUAUCCACAUGGGAAGAGCUAAGUGAGAAAGCAAGACUAAUAAAGAGAGGCAGAGACCCAGGGACGUUGUUUGAACCAGAGAAGAGCUGAACAAAUAGUCAAGCGGCCUUGGCUGCUGGUGGUAUCUAAAUACUGUGAAAACUGGUGAAUCAUAGCAAUACUGAUAUUUAAAAUGAGAGCCAUAGCAAAAACACUCUUGGAAGAUGCUGGGAGAUCAGACAAGCAACCGGCAAAAUUGAAGAAAAGGUUUUGUGUUUGUGUCAGUUCUAUUCUAUGUAACUUACUUGGGGGAAUGGUAGCAUAUUCCCCAAUGUCACAUUCACUGUUUUUCUCCAUCUCCUAGGACUGUGAAAUAGGCAUGUUCAUUUACAUCUUUUCCUAGAACAGUCUGACCCUUCUUGCAUACCACAUGAUGCUACCUCCCAUGAUCACAGUGAAUCAGAAACAGCAGAAGCCAAUCUAAAAGCAGCCAAAUCUUUUGAUCAUCUAAAAACCCAUUAGUGGUAUCUGAUGGGCAUUUAAAUAAGAAGCCACAGGGCACAGGCUCUAAGCAGCACAGGCACAAGCCAACACCAUAGCCUGUAGGUAGCUAAAAUAACAGUAGUGAAGCACCUUGGGAACCUGACUAUAUAGGUCUUCACAGAGAAACAGGUUAAUGACACAAAUGCCAAAAAUAAGCAGAACCCAAGAAAUGCAGCUUCAUAUGAACUAGAGGGAUAGCCUCACACUUUGAAUUGAAACUUCAAAUUAUGAAAGGGGUCUCACUGAGUAUUCUGAGAUGGCUUUGAACUUCCUAUGCUACUGUCUGAGCCUCUCAAGUGUUGGG
Molecule: long non-coding RNA, 3763 nt
Filed under: Cricetulus griseus (Chinese hamster)
Lineage: Eukaryota; Metazoa; Chordata; Mammalia; Rodentia; Cricetidae
Description: lncRNA (ENSCGRG00015030474.1)
Source: RNAcentral